This 362-nucleotide ribosomal RNA is filed under the name Salmonella enterica subsp. enterica serovar Typhimurium. Its description in RNAcentral is "partial 23S ribosomal RNA". It matches the Rfam family "Bacterial large subunit ribosomal RNA", at positions 454 to 816 of the family's 2925-position model. Lineage: Bacteria; Pseudomonadati; Pseudomonadota; Gammaproteobacteria; Enterobacterales; Enterobacteriaceae. The record is from RNAcentral.
CAUCCUCCAAGGCUAAAUACUCCUGACUGACCGAUAGUGAACCAGUACCGUGAGGGAAAGGCGAAAAGAACCCCGGCGAGGGGAGUGAAAAAGAACCUGAAACCGUGUACGUACAAGCAGUGGGAGCACAGGUUUACCUGUGUGACUGCGUACCUUUUGUAUAAUGGGUCAGCGACUUAUAUUCUGUAGCAAGGUUAACCGAAUAGGGGAGCCGGAGGGAAACCGAGUCUUAAUUGGGCGUUAAGUUGCAGGGUAUAAACCCGAAACCCGGUGAUCUAGCCAUGGGCAGGUUGAAGGUUGGGUAACACUAACUGGAGGACCGAACCGACUAAUGUUGAAAAAUUAGCGGAUGACCUGUGGCU